AAAAAAAAAAAGACCCUCAUGCUGGAUCGGGUAAGACAACCCGACUGAAUCCCUCCAAUUUAAACCGAACCAACUCGUGGGUCGACCCGUUUAGGGUUCAAUAAUGGGGUUUAAAGGUUUUCAAUUCUCUCCAGAACUCAAUUCUAUCUUCAAUUUUUCUUUCCAAUCUUUCAUUUUGAAUAAUUACGAAGAAUUUUUCACUCACAAAUGCAAAAUCUCUGAUGCAUCAACGUACAGUAUUAUCCAGUUAUCGGGAACUCAAAUUUUUUUCACCAAAAAACAAUUUUUGUAACCCUAGAAAUACUGUAUUUCGUGCAUUUAUGUAUAAUAGAAGGGCGCCUGACCCGAAUGAUCCAUCCACCUGGAUGAAAGAAGAUAGUAUAUCACGUUGUUGUAAAAUGUGGAUGGAUAGUUUCGAGAACCCAAUAACACAGUUAGUAAUUUAACUGAUUAUUUAAGGAGAUUUGAGUUAUGGGUAUUGGCAUAUCAAAAAGUAUCAGCUGAUGAUAUGGGGGCGUAUAUGCCAAGGAGCGCGAUUACGCGUUCAGCACUUGAGGAUUUAUUGGCAUUGAGAAAUGCACUUCUUGAUAAUAGGUUUAAAUGGGGUGCUAGGUUGGAGUUUUUUAUUAAGUCUCCGAGGGAUAAGAUGGAUUACGAGUCGUUGUCUAAGAGGAAGAUUAAAGCUAUAUUGACUACAACGCAGCCUAGUCCGUUUCAGGAUAGGAUAGUGCAGGAGGUUUUGUUUAUGAUAUUGGAGCCGAUUUAUGAGGCUAGGUUUUCGGAGAAGUCAUUUGCUUUUCGACCUGGUAGGACUGCGCAUACAGCUUUGAGGGUUAUUAGGAGAAGUUUUGCGGGGUAUUUGUGGUAUAUAAAAGGGGAUUUAAGUACAGUUUUGGAUGGGAUGAAGGUUGGGAUGGUUAUUAGUGCUUUAAUGAGGGAUGUUAGAGAUAAGAAGGUGGUUGAUUUGAUAAAGGCUGCGUUAACUACUCCUGUGAUAACUACUAGGCCUGAGGAUGUUGAGAAAAAGAAGACGAAAAGAAAGUAUCAGAAGAAGAGAGUGUUAGCAGAUGAUGAGCCGAAGCCUGAUCCAUACUGGCUGGAAUCAUUCUUUGGGUUUGCUCCAGAGGAGGCUGAGAAAGUUCCUUCAUGGGGGCAUUGUGGUAUACUCAGUCCACUUCUGGCUAAUGUUUGCCUUGAUGAGUUGGACCGCUGGAUGGAAGGUAAGAUUCAGGAGUUUUAUCGGCCUUCGAAGAAUGAUGUUAUUUGGAAUAGUCCAGAAGGGGAAAUAGAACAAGGAAAUCCUUCUNNNNNNN
This 1313-nucleotide long non-coding RNA is filed under the name Capsicum annuum. Its description in RNAcentral is "long non-coding RNA (CANN_LNC020890)". The record is from RNAcentral. Lineage: Eukaryota; Viridiplantae; Streptophyta; Magnoliopsida; Solanales; Solanaceae.